UGGCGGACGGGUGAGUAAUGUCUGGGAAAACUGCCUGAUGGAGGGGGAUAACUACUGGAAACGGUAGCUAAUACCGCAUAACGUCGCAAGACCAAAGAGGGGGACCUUCGGGCCUCUUGCCAUCGGAUGUGCCCAGAUGGGAUUAGCUAGUAGGUGGGGUAACGGCUCACCUAGGCGACGAUCCCUAGCUGGUCUGAGAGGAUGACCAGCCACACUGGAACUGAGACACGGUCCAG
RNAcentral lists this ribosomal RNA (236 nucleotides) under uncultured Enterobacterales bacterium. Its description in RNAcentral is "partial 16S ribosomal RNA". It matches the Rfam family "Bacterial small subunit ribosomal RNA", at positions 96 to 334 of the family's 1533-position model. Lineage: Bacteria; Pseudomonadati; Pseudomonadota; Gammaproteobacteria; Enterobacterales. The record is from RNAcentral.